GCCAAAACAGAUAUUAUUAAGCUCAUUUAUAUAUGAGGAAACUGAGGCACAGCAGAAUAAUGAUUUUUUUCAAGGACACCCAGGGGCAGAGGCAGGGGUCAAACUAAAGGUCCUAGUCCAGGCUCCUUCCCCAGGUGCCACUGGCAAUAGCAAAGCACAUGAGGUGCCUAUGAGUGACACAGUAUUGCUUCUCCUUGAUCAGGAGAAGUCAUACUUGACUGGUUGGGAUUGAGCUGCCUUCUUUGCCCUUCCCUCUGCUUCCCCAGGGUCUCCUCAGCCCAGUACACAUCCCAAGGCAGUGAGCGAGGCCCGAGGAGGCCCCGGCAUAGAGAGUCCUAGUCCUACUCAGCUGGUUCCAACCAUCUGAGCUCCUCCUGGCACUGGUCAGGGUGUGUCGAGCCUGUUAUAAUCUCAGUGGUGAUCCACAUGCUGCUGUGGCCUAAGUCGUUGUAUGCUGUCUCCCUAUUUUACAGAUACAUGAAGGACUGUGCUGAGAAGUCAAUAUGGACACAGUUCAGGUUGUCAUUGACAGUUAGGCACUUUACAGUUAGGCUAGUUUCAAACAAUUCUGUUAUCCCUGAAGAAUUCUUUUACCGCAUGUGAUUUAAAACCUUCCCAUAUCAAUUUUUUUGAAGGAAAAAUUUUGGUACUCAUUUAACUUGCCCACUUACCCAUGAUUAUGCUAAUCUGGGAUUCGAUGCAUGUGGGAUGUGAAUCAUCCCUUUGUCCAGUGUAUCCACGCUAUUUGUGCUGCCUGCCCGGUAGUCGUCGACUUGGUCUGCUCCCAACAUUCAGCCAUUGACAUCUUCCUGGCUCAAUGACCCAGGAUCACCAGAAACGGAUGAUUCUCCUGACAUACAGUCAGAAGGUCAACAGCCUAACGCUAUGUCACAGUGCCUACGUCAUUCACCUCAUUCAUCUCAUCACGCAGGCACUGUGUCCUCUCACAUCAGCACAAUAAGGAGGACGAAGAGCAACAGACAAAUGUGAACACAAAGAAAUCCACCUACCGCACGUGCAUCAUGUCACUGAAACCCACCGGACUGACGGAAACGUGUGGUCCAGGGGAUCAGGUAACAAGCGAGUGGGUGCUGGAUUCAAACCCAGGCCUGUUGGCCUCCAGCUUAUGUGGUUCCGGCUCGUUAAUUAUAAAACCCUGAGCAAAUGCAAAGGGUGAUGCUAGUGACUAUUGCCAAUGUCUGUCGAAAUGAAAUGCAGGCAUUUAUGUAAUUUUUACUUGUCAGAAAUGCCAGCCUUUUGGGUUUGCAGUUUUCUUCAAAGAUGUGCCUUAAAAACAUAAGCCAUCUUCCUUCCAUUGAUCAUACCUUCCUAACUCCGAAAUAAAUAAUGUUUUGAAAUAGUUGUUUUUUUAUGAUUAAAAAUAUUUUUAAUAUAGCUUACAUGUACAACUUGAUUUUAACUAUUUAUAUACCUAUGUAACCACCUAAAUCAAAUGAAAUAGUUGACUUUAAUUAACACAUGCUUAACUCUGAAAUCUGUCACAACCUGAAACUGGGUAAACAUCAUAUGGUCCCCAAAGAAAACAAACUCAUGUUUUUUUCCUAAAGUGUUUUUGUUUGUGAAAUUAAUAUAAAGGUAACUGCACUUUCCAAAACCUUCCAGCUUAUUUGCUGGAAGGUAUUUCCCAUGCUUCCUCUAAUGCAGUCCAGUCCUCAACACACGGAUGACCCCUUCCAGGUACUUUUCUUUCUUCCUGUAUCUGCCACUAGGGGGAUUCUCCCCUCACUCUCUUUUCCCUAAUCCCUGCUGUUUUACCAAGAGUAAUCUCAGGGUGGAGUAGGAGCUGGUUUCUAUACUGCUCAGGUUCCUCCUGGCUUUAGCAUCCCUGAAGACUCUUUUCUUCCUCCGUUCUCCUCUCUCAUCACUCCUUACCCCUUCCUAGAGCUUCACUCACUUUGACCUGCUCCUCUCCCGUAUCUCAGGCCAUGCCAUCCCUACCCCUGGGAUUUGGGGUGGAGGGGACCUGUCAACACACUCAUCAUUUUAUUUAUAUCACAUAUUUGUACAGGUCUCCUCUCAUCUUCUGGACCCAGACUGCAUCUCACCCAUAGUAAGUGGUUUUGUGACUGAGUGAAUCUUUACUUACUGCUGCUGGGGCUACAAGCAAAUUGGAGUUAUGGUUAUAGCCGUCAUGUUAACACAUUUUUCUGUCUGUUGUACAGUUCUCUAACACCUCUAUACUAUACAGUCAUGAGCCACACACAUAAUGAAGUUCAGUCAAUGAAGGACCACAUGCGCAAUGGUGGUCCCAUAAGAUUAUAUUACCAUAUUUUUACUGUGCCUUUUCUCUUUACAUAUACAAACACUUAUCAUUGUGUUACAGUUGCCCACACAAUUCAGUACAGUAAUGUGCUGCAGAGGUUUGUAGCCUAGAAGCAAUGGGGCCUACCAUAUAGCCUGGGUGUGUAGUAGGUUAAACCAUCUAGGUUUGUGUAAGCAUACUCUAUCUUAUUUGAACAAUGACAAAAUCGCCUAACACAUUUCUCAGGAUAUAUCUCCUUCAUUAAGAGGCACCUGACUGCAUUUUGGUAGAUGCUCUGGCUGUCUGGUGAGUAGCCUUUCAUGAGCUGAGACAUAGCUACCACAAACAACCCUGUGUACAUGGGAAGCCUACUGAGUUCCCUAUGAAUUACAGUAGAAGCUUUGGAAACACAGGAAACACAGCCUGCUCUUCAAGGGAGAAUAGUCACAGGGUUAACCUGACAACCUAAAAAGAAACAAAAAACAUGUUUUCCAACCAGAGUAGUGGUGACUAGUUGUCCUGUAUUUCCAACAAGGCCCCAAAGAAAAUUCCAAGGAUUAAGCCCAGAUGUUCAAAGGAAUGGAAUUAAUCACACUCAAAAAUGUUUUCAACUGUGAGUCUCAAAGUGGGGUAUCUGUCAUUAAUGGAUAAACACACUUUAAAGGUUGUAAAAUAUAUAAGAUUUAAGAACUCCAUUCUGCUGGCUUUGUGGUUUUAGUGACCAUAAAGUGAGUGGCACACACACAAAAAUAUUCAUCUUCAUCUGUUAAAACUACCUGGGAAUUUCCAUUUCAAAGAUGUUUUGUGAGACUAAAGGAUGUAUCUAGAGCACAGAGGCUUUGGCUUCUAAAUGGAUUAGUUUGUAUAAAGAACCAGUUCAGGACGGGGUCACAAAGGACAGUGUAAUUUAGUCUCUGUCUCAGCAGUUUCUAGGAAGUGCUGCUCAGCUACCAUUUUCUAGGGCAGAGCCUGCAGGAGGCAGGCAGAAAGGCUACUUUUCAAAUUCUCCAUCGUCUUAUUUUGACCUAAAUACUCCCUAGAGCAAGUG
This is a non-coding RNA of Microcebus murinus (gray mouse lemur), 3311 nucleotides long. The record is from RefSeq and is a predicted model, not a curated record. NCBI's taxonomy places the organism in Eukaryota, Metazoa, Chordata, Mammalia, Primates, Cheirogaleidae.